Long non-coding RNA from Stegodyphus dumicola, 182 nucleotides. The record is from RefSeq and is a predicted model, not a curated record. Lineage: Eukaryota; Metazoa; Arthropoda; Arachnida; Araneae; Eresidae.
AGUUGAAGUUAAAACCUCUACAGGUGUUCUUCGGCGAGCCAUCAACAAAAUUAUUCCUCUACCAUUUAAAGACUGAAUAAACUUGAAAAACUUUUAUUUUAUAUUUAAUAGUUUACCAAUUUAAUAUUUAGUUUAGUGUAAUUUUAGUGACUUUAAAUUUAUUUGAAUAUCUGGAAAUUGAA